GACGUAGGAGGCGAGCGUUAUCCGGAUUCACUGGGCGUAAAGGGCGCGUAGGCGGCCUGAUAAGUAGGGGGUGAAAUCCUGCGGCUUAACCGCAGGGCUGCCUUCUAAACUGUCGGGCUUGAGCACAGUAGAGGCAGGUGGAAUUCCCGGUGUAGCGGCGGAAUGCGUAGAGAUCGGGAAGAACAUCAGUGGCGAAGGCGGCCUGCUGGGCUGUUGCUGACGCUGAGGCGCGACAGCGUGGGGAGCAAACAGG
RNAcentral lists this ribosomal RNA (253 nucleotides) under uncultured bacterium. RNAcentral describes it as "partial 16S ribosomal RNA". It matches the Rfam family "Bacterial small subunit ribosomal RNA", at positions 524 to 776 of the family's 1533-position model. The record is from RNAcentral.